RNAcentral lists this small RNA (124 nucleotides) under Marmota monax (woodchuck). The record is from RNAcentral. Lineage: Eukaryota; Metazoa; Chordata; Mammalia; Rodentia; Sciuridae.
GCCAGGCAUGGUGGCGCAUGCCUGUAAUCCCAGCAGCUAGGAGGCUGAGAAAGGAAGAUUGUGAGUUCAAAGCCAGCCUCCGCAAAACUGAGGCACUAAGUAACUCAGUGAAAACCUGUUUCUA